Molecule: long non-coding RNA, 2412 nt
Organism: Bubalus bubalis (water buffalo)
Lineage: Eukaryota; Metazoa; Chordata; Mammalia; Artiodactyla; Bovidae
Exons: 3
Source: RefSeq, a predicted model, not a curated record
ACACAAUGUCCCAAUGAAUGUAUUUCUGAAUAUCUCUUUGAGUUCAUUUGCAAUAAUUUUUUAAGGCCUCUGAUGUAAAAUUGCUAGUUCAAGGAGCACAUGUAUAUGUAGUUCCUCUAAAGAUGUCCUUGAAACCUGUUUAUAUGUUAGACUUUGUAUGGCAAAAGGGUCUUCACAAAUGUAAUUAAGUAUCUUUAGAAGGCAAGGCUUACUUAAUUGGCUUACCCAGGAGGGCCCAAUCUAAUUACAGGAAUCCUUGAAAUCAGAAGAGGAGGCAGAACUGAGAGUCAUAAGCUACCACCUGAAAAAAAUUCUACCAGCUGUUGCUGGUUUUGAAGAUGGUGAAGAGGGGCAUGUGCCGAGUAGUAUAAGUCCGGAGCCACUGGAUAAAGGCAACAAAAACGGGUUCUCUCCUAGAGCCUCCAGCUAGGAAUGCAGUCCAGAAGAGACAUCUUGACUUUAGCCCAGUGAAACGCAGGACAAACUUCUGACCUCCAGAACUGACCUAAGGGGAAGCCAGGUAGCAAAGUAAUCUGGAGAAUUAGCAGAGUAUAGAAGAAUGGAUUUGAGUCCAAGAGACAGCAUCAAGUAAGCAAGUGCUUCUCCACUGGAAAUUCAGCAUGACAAGAGCUUCAGCAAGACAUAAGUGAGCUACACCAGAAUCCCUGCCUGGACUAAGACUGGAAAUAAAGAGAAAGGGUGAGGAGUGCAUCAUGAUGCUGGGACCACUAGGGCCCUAGAAUCUUGGAGCCCAUCGCAGGCAUGAACUUCAUUCCAGGGCAGCCCCAGAGCACCACUCGGGACCAGCCCUGUUCAUAGAAGAAUCAGGAGACCAGCCCACUCCCACAGGAAGACCAGAGUUGACGGGGAUGGAUUUGGAAAUCUACCACAAAAAGGAUCUAAAUCUCAGGGAAGAACAAGAACCAGGCCCAGUCCUUCAGUGCCUCUCUGAAGUAUUCUCAAUGAAGAGUAACUAAUCCAUUCAGUAAAUGAAAUAGAGCAUCUACAAAUGUGAAGGGCUUCCCUGGUGGCUCAGACAGUAAAGAAUCCGCCUGCAAUGCAGGAGACCUGGGUUCAAUCCCUGCAUUGGAAAGAUUUCCUGGAGGAGGGCAUGACAACCUACUCUAGUAUUCUUGCCUGGAGAAUCUCCGUGGACAAAGGAGCCUGGCCAGCUACAGUCAACGAGGUCACAAAGAGUUGAAUACGACUGAGCGACUCAGCACAGCACACAUGUGAAAUAGUGCCUCUCCCAUAUAUACAGAGUCAUCAAGAAAUAGUCUCUGCAAUAAAUACAUUAAAAAAAAAAAACUAUGCACACAUUCUUCUUAAACUCAGUGCUUCCUAUUCCUUUAUUUCAUUUAUCAUCAUUUCUUCCCAUUUUGGUCCCUCUUUCUCUUCCUUUAAAUUCCCACUCCACCAAUAAACAACAAAGCCCACAGGCCAGUACAUCACCAAGGUAUAACUUUCAAAAUGUGUCUCUUUCCUUUGUUAGACAGGUAGACAUAUUGGAAGGUAAUAGGUAAAGUGAAUAAAAAUAGAGAUUCUUAGCUGAUAGUCAAAAUGCUCCUCAUUCUCUGACCUUUCCUUUUUCCUGGAACAAAGUGCCAGCCUUAGUCUGAUUGAUGGUUAUAAGGGAAAGGCCAGAGGAAUUUCAAGGUAACCAUAUAAAACUCUAACUGUUCAGGGAAAGAGGGCAGAGACAUGGGUAUUAUAAUUUCAUUUGGAGUUUGGAUAUAUUAAUGGGGACCCAUUCAUUUAGCUGAACUCACCAUUUCAUCAAGUAUAAAUAACCCUGGAAAGGGUCACAAAAACUCUCCAAAAGGAUUUACCACUGCCCUGCCACCCCAAAGCCAAAUACUUUUUAAAACAUACACACACACAACUGUGAUUAUAGAGUUAUGACUUACACAGCGAUGCUUCAUCCAGUCAUUUUUACCUUCCUGAGCCAGUCGCUGGAGGGCCAAAAAUGUUCCAACUCCAAGGCGAUGUGUAAUAAUGCUCUAGGCUUUGCAGGACUGCCCAGGAUCACCCUUGUCCAGAAGCCAGACCAAACUUCACCUGGCCAGAAUCUCACAAGAAUUAAUGGUUUUUAAGAGAAGGUCACUGGCAGGACCGUAGGAAAUGAGAUGCCAAGACGUGGAACUAAUUGUCCAACACAAGAGAUUUCACACAGGGAACGCGGCACUUCCUUGUCUGGCUAGUAGGAUAUGUGGAGGGAGCAGAGCCCAGGAAUGCUCAAAUGUUUUUGAAAGUCCUUUAUGUGGUUUGAGUUAGGUGAAAGAGUUUUUUGUCUCCGAUCACUUAGGAUUAAAUAAAUUUCUACAUAAAUUUCAUUUCUUUUUUUUUUCCUUCAAAGAGGUUUUGUAUGUUUACUGGAACUUUGUACCAAGAGAAAAUAAAAGAAGCACAUAU